UCAAACUGGAGAUGGCGACCGGCGCACGGGUGAGUAACACGUAUCCAACCUGCCGAUAACUCGGGGAGUAGCCUUUCGAAAGAAAGAUUAAUACCCGAUGGCAUAAUAGAACCGCAUGGUUUGAUUAUUAAAGAAUUUCGGUUAUCGAUGGGGAUGCGUUCCAUUAGGCAGUUGGUGGGGUAACGGCCCACCAAACCUUCGAUGGAUAGGGGUUCUGAGAGGAAGGUCCCCCACAUUGGAACUGAGAUACGGUCCAAACUCCUACGGGAGGCAGCAUG
RNAcentral lists this ribosomal RNA (278 nucleotides) under uncultured bacterium. RNAcentral describes it as "partial 16S ribosomal RNA". It matches the Rfam family "Bacterial small subunit ribosomal RNA", at positions 76 to 353 of the family's 1533-position model. The record is from RNAcentral.